This is an RNA transcript of Micropterus dolomieu (smallmouth bass), 2952 nucleotides long. It is a transcript of the gene named R3H domain and coiled-coil containing 1, with no coding region annotated. Lineage: Eukaryota; Metazoa; Chordata; Actinopteri; Centrarchiformes; Centrarchidae. The record is from RefSeq and is a predicted model, not a curated record. The transcript has 10 exons.
UCCUUUUUGCCUCCGGAAGCUAAACAAUGAUGGCUACAAUGAUGCUGAACCACCGCUGCCUGUGACUUAAAUUGUAGUCCUUUGCGCUCAUAUGUCAACAGCACCUCAGUAAAACAACCCCAAGUCAAAAUAGUGCACGUGAACCAAAACGGCCCCGUCCUUCUCUGUCCACCCUGGCGUUCCCGUCUUGAUGGCAUUUCCCGAUAACCGGUAUCUACCAAAGCAUGAAUGUCAGUUCGUGCAUCAGGUCAAGGAUGAGCUGCAAACUUACCAACAGAAGAGCAGCCGCAACAGUGUGCUGCUGUUCCCCCCUCUACCCAGCAGACUGCGAUACCUGAUCCACACGACCAUAGAGGACUGGCCAGAAUUCACCACCUUCUCAGUCGGGGAGAGCUGGUGCCGUAGGGUGGUCGUCUGCCAUUCUGAGCUCAGGGGUGACGUAGAGGAAGACAGUGAAUUGGAGAGCAACAACAGCUUGUGUGAAGAGCUCCUAAGAAGUAGAAGUAGGGAAGAGAUGGAGGGCAAUGCCAAGCCUAAAUCUUUGAUCCCAUCGCGAAACCGAGGACCCAAGAGGCCUGACAAACCCCUUUACCUGCCACGAGCUGCCCGGGAGAGACUGUCCUUACAAAACUCAAAAGGACCCUCGGCAGACCAAGUGUCAUCCGGUCCAGCCUCAAGUAACUGUAGCUGCAUCAGCAGUUCAUCUGACUCGUGUUCCUGUCCUGAAACUACGGAGAACUCUAAGUCCUUAUCCACAUCCAGACAGGAAACUCUCCCCAGUGUAGCGGACGGUAUCCUCAGCCAUGUUGCUGACAGUUCAGCACUUUGUCCUCAGGUGCUGAUGCUUCAGGAAGCUGAGCCUGUAGUCUGGGACGAGACUGUGUCCUGCUUUGCUAACAUAACUCUGGAGGAUGAGGAGAAGGACAAGGAAGACCUUGCUAGUGUGCCAUGCAGUGAUGUAACUGAAGAGAUCAAGGCACAUCUGAAAGAGACAAUGGCUGUUUCUAUUGAGCAUGUUCACAAUGACUACUCCAUAUAUAUGAACAUGUGUAUCACUAUCGACCCGGAUGACUUUCGCCACGUGAUCGAGAUCUAUGACUUCCCAGCUAUAUUCAGAACAGAGGACCUCCUGGAUGCUUUCACAGAGUACAGUGAUGGCGGAAUGAAAAUCAAGUGGAUAGACAACACACAUGCCCUGGGGGUUUUCUCCAGUGAGCCGGCAGCACUCCAUGCCCUCUCCAUCUGCCAUCCGAUGCUGAAGACAAGAGCCCUAGCUGAAGGGAGUAAAAAGGCCAAAGCCAAAGCCAUGAGAUGGGCAGAGUUCCUCCAGCCAGUGAAGGAGCGUCCCAGGACAGACUGUGCUGUAGCCCAGCGGAUGGUGACCAGAGCCUUGGGGCUGCAGGGACGAGGGAGAGUGCAGCGAUUUUGAAGGGAAUUGCUAACUCUGUUGGCUAAUGCAGAUGAAUCUUCUGUAUUCAGCACUGGAGGGGUCGUGGCAGAUGAUGUUAGGGUGACCAGACGUCCCGAAAAAUUCAGGACCGUCCCGAAUUACGAGAAGUUGUCCCGACUCCUGUCCGAAAGAUCCAGCAGAGCUCUGCCUCCGUUCACUGGCCCUCUGUAGAAGCUCCACAGUGGCCACAAACAGCUAGCUGAUUAUUAAGAGCACGACUACCUUCCAAGACUGUUUGCCUGCUUCUCUGAUUGGUGCAGCAGGUUUGCAUGGUGAAGGAGGAGACUCUUCAGAGUUGACUGCCACACAUCAGCAACAUCCACCCCUGCUGAAGUGUCCUUGAGCAAGACAGUGAAUCACCACCAGCCUCAAAGUGUCUGUUCUGUUGCUGAACCUCACCCUGUUGGACAUUAUUGUUGAAAGUCCGAUGCAAGCGGUGAUUUAAAAUAGAAAAGGCACUGGGGGGAAAAAAGCUCUUUGCUUGUUCUGAUUUGAUUGCAUGUUGCCUUGAAAGUGCGUUUCAAGGGUGUUAAAAUUCCAGGCAAGGCGUUUCUUUCCUCCUUGCUCAGGUGUUGCAGGGUUGAUUGCAUCACUCUGUGUAAGUAGUCAUUCUUUUUAACGUUGAAAUCCGUCAGAUUAUUUCUCAGGAUUUGGUCAAAAUUAUUACCUUGCGCGCUGUAGUCACAGGUAGAUUUAUAAUAUGGAAUGCACAAUUCCAGCUGACAAAUAUAAUGUAGAUCCAUUAACAGAAUCUGAUCUGUUAAAAUGAUAACACUAAGUAUGGUUUUCAGGUGCCAGCGUUCCAGUUGAGAGACACGGUUGUAAAGGAAAAAAACUUACUUGACUCAAUAAGAUUUUGUAAUUUUUUAGUUCAUUUAAAAAGUAUUAUAAGCGAGUUAUAAUAUGUUCAGUUUUUGAUAUUUAUUUGUUUCCUCUAAAUAACAAACUACCGUAGGAUUGUUAACGCAGAGGCAGUGUUCAAUUUCUUUCUCAUUCCACAUGAAAGAAAACUGAGUUUGUGUUUCAGAGACUUGUUAUAUGCUGGGCUCUCUGUUACUGAAAAGUCAGUUUUGUAUCAUUUUGUCAUUGAUUUAACAUGAAUCUUACCUGGUGUAUGAGUUUUGUAUUCAGUAAAAGAUGCUGAGAGUAUUUUAUUGUCAAAUUGAAAUGGGACGUUAACCUGAAAUGAUCUUUUGUGCCUGAGGGAAAAGAAGACUUGAUAGUAGCAUUAAAUGCUGCACAAUCCCAUGGAAAUAUGAAAACUGUACAUGGUAAUUAAGUUGAUUCAUUUUGUUAAAGACGUUUCAAUGUUUUAUGUAAAUGUUAUAUAAACAUACAGUGCUGCCAAGAUGUGGACAGUAGACAGUAACAGUGUUAAAUGUUAAUUAUCUUAACAAUGUUAAAUUUCUGACUCUAACCUUAAAUAUCUGGUGAAAAGUAUAAAACACAUUUAUUAUUUGAUUGCAAAUUCUGUGGAAUCAAAUAAGUUCAAACCCCCAUGA